Long non-coding RNA from Zophobas morio, 383 nucleotides. RefSeq lists it as uncharacterized. NCBI's taxonomy places the organism in Eukaryota, Metazoa, Arthropoda, Insecta, Coleoptera, Tenebrionidae. The record is from RefSeq and is a predicted model, not a curated record. The transcript is spliced from 3 exons.
AUUACCAGCUUGAGGUUUUAUAGUUUCUAAAGUAAUCCGUUUCUUAUCGUGCGUAGAAUACUUAACACUUCCUGAGGUACAUGGCCAUCCUUAAUCAGUUUGGUCCAGGGCACGAUAAUAACCAGAAACCGACGUUGGCAAAAUUCAUGUUAUACAUGGAGCGUCAACUUAAGCUCGAACAGCGUUCUUCCAAAGUCAAUCGUCGUAAAAUACAUGCAUCUGCCAGGGAAGUUUAGAAAACUUAUACUAGUAUGCUUGUUAUCAGCUUUGAAAGAGAUCCUGUAGUCUUCUUACCAAACCAAGCUAUCUACACGGAUGAUCGAAAAUGGUUUCUUUUAAAACGUGUACAAGUAGAUAAACUACGAAGUUGCUAGUGUUUUUAA